GACGAACGCUGGCGGCGUGCUUAACACAUGCAAGUCGAACGGAAAGUCCCUGCUUUUGUGUUGUGCUCGAGUGGCGAACGGGUGAGUAACACGUGAGUAACCUGCCCUUUACUUUGGGAUAACUUCAGGAAACUGGGGCUAAUACCGGAUAGAAUCUCCUGCUGCUUGGUUGGGGUUGUAAAGUUUCGGCGGUUGGGGAUGGACUCGCGGCUUAUCAGCUUGUUGGGGGGGUAGUGGCGUACCAAGGCUUUGACGGGUAGCCGGCCUGAGAGGGUGACCGGCCACCUUGGGACUGAGGUAGGGCGCAGAAUGCUACCGGAGGCAGUAGUGGCGAAUAUGGCAGAAUGGGCGGAAGCCUGAUGAAGCGACUCCGGGUGCGGGAUGACGGGCUUCGGGUUGUAAACCGCUUUCGCCUGUGACGAAGCGUGAGUGACGGUAAUGGGUAAAGAAGCACCGGCUAACUACGUG
This 468-nucleotide ribosomal RNA is filed under the name uncultured bacterium. RNAcentral describes it as "partial 16S ribosomal RNA". It matches the Rfam family "Bacterial small subunit ribosomal RNA", at positions 28 to 507 of the family's 1533-position model. The record is from RNAcentral.